This 449-nucleotide ribosomal RNA is filed under the name uncultured bacterium. RNAcentral describes it as "partial 16S ribosomal RNA". It matches the Rfam family "Bacterial small subunit ribosomal RNA", at positions 29 to 523 of the family's 1533-position model. The record is from RNAcentral.
AGCGAACGCUGGCGGCAGGCCUAACACAUGCAAGUCGAACGAACUCUUCGGAGUUAGUGGCGGACGGGUGAGUAACACGUGGGAACGUGCCUUUAGGUUCGGAAUAACUCAGGGAAACUUGUGCUAAUACCGAAUGUGCCCUUCGGGGGAAAGAUUUAUCGCCUUUAGAGCGGCCCGCGUCUGAUUAGCUAGUUGGUGAGGUAACGGCUCACCAAGGCGACGAUCAGUAGCUGGUCUGAGAGGAUGGCCAGCCACACUGGGACUGAGACACGGCCCAGACUCCUACGGGAGGCAGCAGUGGGGAAUCUUGCGCAAUGGGCGAAAGCCUGACGCAGCCAUGCCGCGUGAAUGACGAAGGUCUUAGGAUUGUAAAAUUCCUUCACCGGGGACGAUAAUGACGGUACCCGGAGAAGAGGCCCCGGCUAACUUCGUGCCAGCCGCCGCUGUAA